GACGAACGCUGGCGGCGUGCUUAACACAUGCAAGUGGAGCGACGAACCAGGGCUUGCCCUGGGGCAAAGCCGCGAACGGGUGAGUAACACGUGGUAACCCACCCCGAUGAUCGGGACAACCCGGGGAAACUCGGGCUAAUACCGAAUGUGCCUUCAGUUCAUGAGGACUGAAAGUAAAGAUAGCUUCGGCCUUCGCAUCGGGACGGGCCCGCGGCCCAUUAGCUUGUUGGUGAGGUAACGGCUCACCAAGGCGACGAUGGGUAGCUGGUCUGAGAGGACGAUCAGCCACACUGGGACUGAGACACGGCCCAGACUCCUACGGGAGGCAGCAGUGGGGAAUCUUGCACAAUGCGCGAAAGCGUGAUGCAGCAACGCCGCGUGGGGGAAGAAGGCCUUCGGGUUGUAAACCCCUUUCAGUUGGGACGAAGCUUCAGCGGUGAAUAGCCGCUUGGAGUGACGGUACCUUCACAAGAAGCCCCGGCUAACUACGUGCCAGCCGCCGUAAAAC
Molecule: ribosomal RNA, 508 nt
Filed under: uncultured bacterium
Lineage: Bacteria
Description: bacterial SSU rRNA
Rfam family: Bacterial small subunit ribosomal RNA
Source: RNAcentral